Molecule: ribosomal RNA, 376 nt
Filed under: uncultured Thermus sp.
Lineage: Bacteria; Thermotogati; Deinococcota; Deinococci; Thermales; Thermaceae
Description: bacterial SSU rRNA
Rfam family: Bacterial small subunit ribosomal RNA
Source: RNAcentral
AAAGCCUGGGUGCCCGCGAGGGAGCCCUAGCACAGGUGCUGCAUGGCCGUCGUCAGCUCGUGCCGUGAGGUGUUGGGUUAAGUCCCGCAACGAGCGCAACCCCGCCGUUAGUGCCAGCGGUUCGGCCGGGCAUCUAACGGGACUGCCCGCGAAAGCGGGAGGAAGGAGGGGACGACGUCUGGUCAGCAUGGCCCUUACGGCCUGGGCGACACACGUGCUACAAUGCCCACUACAAAGCGAUGCCACCCGGCAACGGGGAGCUAAUCGCAAAAAGGUGGGCCCAGUUCGGAUUGGGGUCUGCAACCCGACCCCAUGAAGCCGGAAUCGCUAGUAAUCGCGGAUCAGCCAUGCCGCGGUGAAUACGUUCCCGGGCCUU